RNAcentral lists this unclassified non-coding RNA (313 nucleotides) under plant metagenome. Its description in RNAcentral is "partial contains 5.8S ribosomal RNA, internal transcribed spacer 2, and large subunit ribosomal RNA". The stretch from base 1 to 105 matches the Rfam family "5.8S ribosomal RNA", at positions 50 to 154 of the family's 154-position model. The record is from RNAcentral.
GAAAUGCGAUAAGUAGUGUGAAUUGCAGAAUUCAGUGAAUCAUCGAAUCUUUGAACGCACAUUGCGCCCUUUGGUAUUCCUUAGGGCAUGCCUGUUCGAGCGUCAUUUAAACCCUUCAAGCUCAGCUUGGUGUUGGGCGUUUUUUGUCUUUGGUUGCCAAAGACUCGCCUUAAAAGGAUUGGCAGCCGGCCUACUGGUUUCGCAGCGCAGCACAUUUUUGCGCUUGCAAUCAGCAAAAGAGGACGGCAAUCCAUCAAGACCUCCUUCUCACGUUUGACCUCGGAUCAGGUAGGGAUACCCGCUGAACUUAAGC